ACAGUGGACGCGAGCAUCUUUGUUGUAAGUGUUUAAGAGCGUACGGUGGAUGCCUUGGCACCAGGACCGAUGAAGGACGUAGGAGGCUGCGAUAAGCCUCGGGGAGCUGUCAACCGAGCUGAGAUCCGAGGAUGUCCGAAUGGGAAACCCAGCCACAGUGAUGUGUGGUUACCGCCGCCUGAAUAUAUAGGGCGUGAGGAGGGAACGUGGGGAAGUGAAACAUCUCAGUACCCACAGGAAGAGAAAACAACAUGUGAUUCCGUGAGUAGUGGCGAGCGAAAGCGGAAGAGGCUAAACCAUGGGUGUGUGAUAGCCGGCGGGCGUUGCAUUCGUGGGGUUGUGGGAUCCGUCUUGUCAAUUCUGCCGGAUUGGCCGACAGUGAGAAAUCAUCGUGUUAGUCGAAGUGGUCUGGAACGGCCUGUCGUAGAGGGUGAGAGCCCCGUAGACGAAAACAUGGUGACUGUCGUGACGGACACCCGAGUAGCAGCGGGCCCGUGAAAUCUGCUGUGAAUCUGUCGGGACCACCCGAUAAGCCUGAAUACUCCCUGGUGACCGAUAGCGGACUAGUACCGUGAGGGAAAGGUGAAAAGUACCCCGGGAGGGGAGUGAAAUAGUACCUGAAACCGUGCGCUUACAAUCCGUCAGAGCCUGCGCCACUUCGGUGGGUGGGUGAUGGCGUGCCUUUUGAAGAAUGAGCCUGCGAGUUAGCGGCAUGUCGCGAGGUUAACCCGUGUGGGGUAGCCGUAGCGAAAGCGAGUCCGAAUAGGGCGUUUGUAGUGGCAUGUUUCUAGACCCGAAGCGGAGUGAUCUACCCAUGGCCAGGUGAAGCGACGGUAAGACGUCGUGGAGGCCCGAAACCCACUUAGGUUGAAAAACUGAGGGGAUGAGCUGUGGGUAGGGGUGAAAGGCCAAUCAAACUCCGUGAUAGCUGGUUCUCCCCGAAAUGCAUUUAGGUGCAGCGUCGCGUGUUUCACUCUGGAGGUAGAGCUACUGGAUGGCCGAUGGCCCCACAAGGUUACUGACGUCAGCCAAACUCCGAAUGCCAGAGUGUGAGAGCGCGGCAGUGAGACUGCGGGGGAUAGCUUCGUAGUCGAGAGGGAAACAGCCCAGAUCGCCGGCUAAGGCCCCUAAGCGUGUACUAAGUGGAAAAGGAUGUGGGGUCGCGAAGACAACCAGGAGGUUGGCUUAGAAGCAGCCACCCUUGAAAGAGUGCGUAAUAGCUCACUGGUCAAGUGAUCCUGCGCCGACAAUGUAGCGGGGCUCAAGUACACCGCCGAAGCCGCGGCAUUCACAUAACACCCAUGCGGGUCUACGGGCCUGUGUGCAGUGGUGUGGAUGGGUAGGGGAGCGUCGUGCAGCCAUGGAAGCGCCGGAGUGAUCCAGGUGUGGAGGCUGCACGAGUGAGAAUGCAGGCAUGAGUAGCGAAAGACGAGUGAGAAACUCGUCCGCCGAAUGACCAAGGGUUCCUGGGCCAGGUUAAUCCGCCCAGGUGAGUCGGGACCUAAGGCGAGGCCGACAGGCGUAGUCGAUGACAACGGGUUGAUAUUCCCGUACCCGUGUGAACGCGCCCCUGGUGAAUCAGUGAUGCUAAGCGCCCUGAAGCCGCCUUCGAACCUUCGGGUUCUCCGGUGUGUGGAUGCGCGUGAACCGAUCUGGUAGUAGCCAAGCGAUGGGGUGACGCAGGAAGGUAGCUGAGCCAGUCAGUGGUAAUACUGGUGUAAGCGUGUAGGGCGUGACCUAGGCAAAUCCGGGUCACAUACAGCC
Molecule: ribosomal RNA, 1764 nt
Filed under: Rhodococcus (subgen. Prescottella) equi
Lineage: Bacteria; Bacillati; Actinomycetota; Actinomycetes; Mycobacteriales; Nocardiaceae
Description: Rhodococcus hoagii partial 23S ribosomal RNA
Rfam family: Bacterial large subunit ribosomal RNA
Source: RNAcentral